CAGGGGAGAGUCUGGCUCCGAACCAAGACUCUGCUACCAACCAAAGGGACAAGGAAGGGCGUUUGGUGUCUCCAGUUUGGGCCUCAGUCUGUCGCUUUUCCCAUUAGGAAGAGCCUGGGCACCAUUCAUUCAUGAUGUCUCAGGAGGAGGCAUUGUAGAUAGUGGGUGGUCCGUGGGGGACACGAUCCUGGCUGGUGAGCGAUGGGGCAGCCACCACGAACAUCCUGUGCCGACCUCCGCCCCCACGCUUUAUUUUGUUCACUCCUAGGGCACCUAGGGCAUCAUCGCACGUAUCUCCUUGAACGUCAAUUCUUUCCCCAAAUUUUGAGAGCAAGGACUUGUGUCUAAUUCAUGUUUGAAUUGCCCAGCACAGCGCCUGGCGCACAGAAGACACGAGAGAAUGGAGAAGGGGGGCUGCCGGUGGGGGGGGGGCUUGGCGCCCCUGGGGGAGCCCCUGGAGAGCACGUAGCUGUGUGGGGAGGGGGGACACUCCCAGGGCUGGGAUGGGGACACUGCCAGCGCUCUCUCCCUGGUUUCUAACUUCACCAACCUUGACUCCACGGCCUGAGAAAUCCCAGCCUUGCCCCCUUCUCCAGCCCCAGCGGGCACCCAGGCUUUCCCAGCUAAUGCUGCACCUUUCUCCUUGGGAGGUAGUAGAAUUUAGGGCCAGGAAUGAAGAAAGAACGGGGGGAUUACUCGCUCUUUGAAAUGCAGCUGCCUGGGGCCAGGUUCGGUUUGGAAUGGGUAGGAGGGGUGAUGUGUGUGACCCUGCAGUUGGGAGACAGUUGUCCCUGCAGGAAGGCCGGCCACGGAAGCGCCUGACCCCUGUUAUUUCAGCAGGAUUGAGGGGAAGCACCUGUGGUCCUUCCCUCCGCUUGGCCCCUACAGGAGUCAGAAGCCUUCUCCGCCUCACUCCUGCUGCUGUGCCUGGACUGUCUCUCUAGCACCUUGAAGCAGAAGGUUAUUCAUAUCAUGGACGACUGUGGCUGCUCUCUGUGUGGUGAGCUAUGGUGCUCUACAGACCGGUCACCUCCGACACGACUGAAGACCCGAAGGGACACGUGCUCUGGCGGCUCCCACCUGCUUCAGAGAAGGACCGAGCCUUGAUUCUCAGAGGAGCAAAAGCGUACGCAGGCAGUCUGGAACAAUCAUUGCCACUUUUCCACUUCCAUGUUGGUGACAUCAGGUAACAGAUACAUGGGACAUAAUUAAAAAUAAACGAGAAAAAGGUUUCCAUGGUUCACGAAAGCAGUAGGAGUAUUGUGAGGAAAGCUUAGAAGCAUUUAUCUGCUGCUACCCAAAAUUUAGCAUUUGACUUUAAUUAUGCCUCCUUAGGAAUUAAGCAAAGCAGAAAAUGUUUCAACACGACCAGCUGCUGCAGAUCCAAACUGUUUCACGGGUGAACUUUUUAUUUCAUCUUUUCUGUUGCUUUUUGAUCAGGCAAUAAACCCCACUCGUAACAGACUAAAGGUCAUAAAAAUUAUAAUGACAUUAGCCAGCUAACCCAUUUUUCCCAAACCCUCUUAAAACACCUAGGACCAAAGCAUGCUACUAUAGUCAUAAACCAGAGUCGUCUGGGGAAGAGGCAGGCCCCACCCUCUCCUCUUUCAGAGUCCCUGUGGGUCAGAAGCCGAAUCUUUAUGCCAUAGUUAAGGUUAUGGCUGCGUUUUUCAUACGUAUUACCAAGGUGUCAGAUACUGGGCCAGAAGGAGGUGCCCUCGCAUAACCCUUCUCCGGUUACCCCUGCUCAAAGAGGAGAGAUUGGAGAGUGGAGAUCGUGUGGGUUAACUUAAAAGACAAGAGGUGAGCACAUUCCUGGCACACAGAGGGAGAUGGACCUGUCACCUGUGCGUGACGGAUAGCAUUACAACUGGCUCAUUUAGAGCAUUAGGAAGACGUGGGCCUGCCCAUUUGAAGCUUCCGUUCCAACAAAGGAGAGCUCAUGAUGGCAUAUGAGGAAUGCACAGAUCACUCACCAUGAGGGCAGAAGGUAGGACAGAGUCUAAUACGAUGAGCAGGUUAUUAGCUGGAUUAGCCAAUUUCCCAUGUUGAAAGAAAAAAAAAAAUGACUUCAGGAAAUGAAAUAAAACAGAAAUUCCUACCCUACUCUUUCCACGGCAUCAAUAGCAAUUUGGAAACGGAGUUGAGUUUUGCCAAUUUAAAACACAGUAGAAGUCAACCGACUUGGCCUGUUUAAUGGAAAUGACCAGAAGAACGAACAUGGCUGAAGAGCCAUCCAGUAACCAUCAGUCAGACAGCCUGAAUCUCUGCACUAACUCUGAUCCAGUUUAGUCACUCACUGCUGUGGGCAGGGAUCCAAGAAAAAAAUUCACAGGGGCUGAAAGAAGGGGGCCCAGGGUAACAGCCUCUAAAAAUGACAACUUGCCCCGAAGCUUGAAACCGACUCAAACCUCCCCAGAUCCAUCUGGCACAACCAGCACAUCUGACAGCAGCCCACGGUCUCCAAACGUGAAUCGGCUGCAGAGGACUGGCACGCCAGCCUGAAUGACUCUGCUCCGCGUCACUCGCUAGAUUGCCAAACUUAGGCACGAGCGCAUCCAUCCACCUUCCCAGAGCCUUCUAGAAUCUGUCUCCGGUGUCACGGGUUGCCUACCGCCUGUCACUUGGCCUGCUUUCAGGAACCCGAACGUCCACUCAGUGCACAGAAGCAGACCACACGUCCACCUCAGCCACAGGCUCGUCUCUCCCGUCACGGAUGGCGCGGGCUGACCCGGGAGACCUGGCACUAAAACACCAACACCGAAAUCCAGGGGCAGCCCGUGUGUUUGGGGUGGCA
Felis catus (domestic cat) is the source of this 2797-nucleotide long non-coding RNA. RefSeq lists it as uncharacterized. NCBI's taxonomy places the organism in Eukaryota, Metazoa, Chordata, Mammalia, Carnivora, Felidae. The transcript is spliced from 2 exons. The record is from RefSeq and is a predicted model, not a curated record.